This 702-nucleotide long non-coding RNA is filed under the name Prunus dulcis (almond). Its description in RNAcentral is "sRNA ncRNA". Lineage: Eukaryota; Viridiplantae; Streptophyta; Magnoliopsida; Rosales; Rosaceae. The record is from RNAcentral.
UUAGUGGGCAAUCAUCCCCUGGGAGCUUACAAUCAGGACAACACCCAUCAAAUGCCAUCCUGCAAAUCCCACAUGUUUCAUCUUGUGCAUCCCAUGUCCAUGAAGCGACAGCAUGCCACCUGCAGGUUGAAAAGGAUAAGAAUUAGAGCUCCAAGAGUACAUCAUUGUUAAAUUUAUAAACAUUCACAAGUGCAACAAUUGAUUAAUGAAAAUAACAGAUAGAGAAGAGAUAAAGAGGACAUACUCUGUUUGAAAAGCCCAUCAGAUAUUCGAAAAGAGAGUCAGUUAAGAGAAAACUCUUUCUAUAAAACGUGUGCAAUACCUUUCACAACAAACACGUUUCAAGUAAAGGCAAAUUAAUUAGCAAACAAGAUCAUGUAAAAUUUCCAAGCCGAUCAACAAUUAGUAAUUUUUGAAGAAGCCAAAUCAUAUGAAUUUGAUACCAUCAAACUAAAAUUCAUUCUACCAGGAUUAAAUAAAUGCAACAAAGUUAACACCAUAGAAGUGAAAGAAAAGGAAAAUAUAAACGAUAGUUAUAAAUAGUAUAAAGGUAGUGCAUUUAAAAGAAAGGAACUGAAAACACAUUGACAAGGAUACGCAAGAUGUUGACUUUCAUCCUCUUCUCCUGCAACUACAAAAUCCCAAACCAUACAUUUCAGAGAAGUGAAUGAUAAUAGAAUCUCUAGUGAAUGAUAAUAGAAU